UAUAGGGCCCUAGUACACCAGCACUAGCAGUAGGGGUGCCAAUUCCAGUGUUGGAGGGGUCACUCAGAGUGAAGGUUUGUCCAUAUGCUGGGAAUCCCACAAUGAGCUUCUCAGGAGCGGCUCCAUUUUCAAUCCAACUAGAGCAGCUCCCAUUAUGCAGCAAAUGACAGUUAAUACAGACUCACAACUGGUGGAGUGUCCUGCUCUAAAUAGGCUAUCUGGAUCACACUCCACUUCCCCAAGACUCAGGGAACAUUGGAGAAAAAACCGACAAAGAAGUUGUACAAGACCUUCCUGAGCCAUUGUGACCCUGAAAUACCUUAGGUAGAAGUACUCUGGAAGCAGG
Molecule: long non-coding RNA, 346 nt
Organism: Peromyscus eremicus (cactus mouse)
Lineage: Eukaryota; Metazoa; Chordata; Mammalia; Rodentia; Cricetidae
Exons: 3
Source: RefSeq, a predicted model, not a curated record